This is a long non-coding RNA of Mus musculus (house mouse), 841 nucleotides long. RefSeq annotates it as predicted gene 28076. The transcript has 5 exons. The record is from RefSeq and is a predicted model, not a curated record. Lineage: Eukaryota; Metazoa; Chordata; Mammalia; Rodentia; Muridae.
CAAUGUGAGGUUUCAGGAAGUCAGAUACAGCGUAACUAAGACGGUAUCUUAGAGUGUAUUCCUGGCACGCCCGCUGCAGACCAGAAUCUUCCAAACCAGCAGCCAACAAACAGCAAAUACACGGCAGAGUGCAGCUCUCUCAGCACAAAAUGGUGUGUGGACCUGGAAGACGACAGCUUUCUGCAGAGGCAUUUUCAAAUUUCCUUUCCUUUGAGGAGAGAAACUUCUGGAAACAUUCACAGAAAGAGAAAGCACCAUGGCAGAGGAGUCAGGGCACACAGCUAAGGUCACAAGUCCAUCACCGAGGGAAGUCACAACAUCUAGACAGGAACCUGGAGGCAGGAAUUGAAGCAGAGACUACGGAAGAGUGCUUCUUACUGGGUUGUUGCCCAUGGGCUUGCCCAUCCUGCAUUCCUAUUUAUCCUAGGGCUGCCUGGCCAGGAAUGGCACCAUCUACAAUAGGCUGGACUCUUCCAUUUACAUCACUAAGUAAGAAAAUGCUACAGACAUUUUGUAUACAGGCAAAAAUACUCAGAUGGCAGCACGGUUUUGGCAAUUAUGUUUCCAUCUUCUUAAAUGACUCUACCUUGCGUUAAGUUGGCCUGAAACUCAACCAGGACAAGGGGCUUCUAGAAAAGGAAUGGAGGAGGGUCUGACAGCCCCUGGACCACCUGCUACUGAUCUUCCAAAGUGCAGGUGACAUAGAGAAACCUGUUGUAUAGGCAGAGAACUCUUGUCCUGGAAAGUUCUCUCAUCAUACUUUGAACUUGGCACUUCCUGAGUCUUUCUAUGACUUCUUUGUUUCUACAGAUCUUAUCUUCUCGAUUAAUUAAACAAUUUU